Vespa crabro (European hornet) is the source of this 664-nucleotide long non-coding RNA. RefSeq lists it as uncharacterized. The transcript has 2 exons. NCBI's taxonomy places the organism in Eukaryota, Metazoa, Arthropoda, Insecta, Hymenoptera, Vespidae. The record is from RefSeq and is a predicted model, not a curated record.
GCGAAAAUGCACUCACUCGACAUCGCGUAGAUCGGUCUUGGCCUCGGCUAGUCUCGUCAAACGCUCGUCCGCGAGGCCGUUUUUACGAUAUUAGUACGACGAUUAGCCGUCUUCCGUUUGGUCGAUGAAGUCAUUUUGGGAAAAAAUUCAUUCGGUAUAUCUGUUAAAUCGAUCGGAUUAGAGGAAAGAAAUUACAUAUAUUUGUCUUUGGGUAUUAAAUGUUUUUUUUCUUUUUCAUUUAUAAUCUAUUACAUCAUUAGCUCUUUAAAUUAAUUCACAUUAUGCUUAUGAUUAUUUUUUUGUAUGAAACGAGAAAUAGUGAAGUUGUAGGAGAUUAAAAAAACGAAAAGCAAGGAGGAGUCGAGCAUCGAAGGACGUCGCUCUAUUUGCAGAGCGUCGGAGGCGAACGAAAAUGGAGAGUCGCUUCCACGCGUUUGCCUUGCGGAUGAAUAUUCCGCUUGUGUCAACUAAGCGUUUCGUGUUCGUCGCUUUCAACGAAUCUGUUGGAUAAAUUUGCUGGAAGACCUUCGACUUUUCAAUCUCUAUUAAUUCUCCCUUUUACGACAGAAAAAUACUUACAAUUAGAUUUAUUACAAUAUUGUCAUAUUUUACGAGCUAAUAAAUUAAUCAGGCAAAAGUAACAGAUCGUUGGAGGUAAAACCGA